This 557-nucleotide ribosomal RNA is filed under the name uncultured bacterium. RNAcentral describes it as "bacterial SSU rRNA". It matches the Rfam family "Bacterial small subunit ribosomal RNA", at positions 102 to 694 of the family's 1533-position model. The record is from RNAcentral.
ACGGGUGAGUAACGCGUGGGAACAUACCCUUUUCUACGGAAUAGCUCUGGGAAACUGGAAUUAAUACCGUAUACGCCCUACGGGGGAAAGAUUUAUCGGGGAAGGAUUGGCCCGCGUUGGAUUAGCUAGUUGGUGGGGUAAAGGCCUACCAAGGCGACGAUCCAUAGCUGGUCUGAGAGGAUGAUCAGCCACAUUGGGACUGAGACACGGCCCAAACUCCUACGGGAGGCAGCAGUGGGGAAUAUUGGACAAUGGGCGCAAGCCUGAUCCAGCCAUGCCGCGUGAGUGAUGAAGGCCUUAGGGUUGUAAAGCUCUUUCACCGAUGAAGAUAAUGACGGUAGUCGGAGAAGAAGCCCCGGCUAACUUCGUGCCAGCAGCCGCGGUAAUACGAAGGGGGCUAGCGUUGUUCGGAAUUACUGGGCGUAAAGCUCACGUAGGCGGAUAUUUAAGUCAGGGGUGAAAUCCCAGAGCUCAACUCUGGAACUGCCUUUGAUACUGGGUAUCUUGAGUAUGGAAGAGGUAAGUGGAAUUGCGAGUGUAGAGGUGAAAUUCGUAGA